CCCAGAAACAUCAUGAACUUAUGGAUGAGUAGUGGCGUUUGUUGAUGAUAUGAUAUGUGCUUAGUUGUCUGAGUAACAACGGAUUGAUGACCCUGACCAUGAUUUACCCCAUGCCACAGCAGCUGCUACAAUGGGGUAGAUCUCCCAAAGGGGCUGAAGUGGUGGAAAAAUUUCCAAACCUGGAUGCCAUGGCCAACAGCCCCAAAGCAAUUGUUCCCGGUAGAUCGCUGCCAAACCCGUGGUAUACGCUGUGUCUGACCAUCUGGUUGGAGAAGUGUCAGACAAUCCUGGAAGGAACAUGCUUUUACAAUGCCAAGUGGUUAAGAAAUCCCCCCCAUGUGCAGGUCUGCUGUUGCUGAGGUGUCUAGGCACCUCCUCUGAUCGUCAUGUUGGAAGUGUGGAAAAAAGGGGAAAGUACUCUGGAUGUGAAAGCGUGGUCUUGUGGUAUGAUUGGCAUGGCAAAAUUAAGGAACCUGGUAGGGAUUGUAGUUCCUUGUAGUUGUAAGUACUAAGCAGGAGGUAG
Pelobates cultripes (western spadefoot toad) is the source of this 523-nucleotide non-coding RNA. The record is from the annotation of a GenBank genome assembly. NCBI's taxonomy places the organism in Eukaryota, Metazoa, Chordata, Amphibia, Anura, Pelobatidae.